GGGUGAGGGAGAGAGUUGUAACGGCGAAGCCCUGCCGGAUUUUGGAUCCUAACCGCAGGUAUGGCCGGAGAUACGCCAGCUCUACUUGACGGAGUCAUAGACUCGUCGCACCGGUCCUUUCUUGCUGUGGUUCAGCGCGUGAAAUUUAACGUGCUGCGUCCACGUCCACCAGCGGAGUUUAUUCCUGUUGAGCCACGAUGGGUGCCCAGGUUGAGUGAGGCUGGUCUUCUUACUAUAGGUCGUCUUGCUGAGAGUGGUUUAGUACAGCUGGACAGGUCUCUACUUACGGCUCUAGUUGAUAGAUGGAGGCCUGAGACAAACACCUUCCAC
Panicum virgatum (switchgrass) is the source of this 330-nucleotide long non-coding RNA. RefSeq lists it as uncharacterized. The record is from RefSeq and is a predicted model, not a curated record. Lineage: Eukaryota; Viridiplantae; Streptophyta; Magnoliopsida; Poales; Poaceae. The transcript is spliced from 3 exons.